GCCCGGUUAGCUCAAUCGGUAGAGCGUGAGACUCUUAUAUUUCAAAACGAGUACGCGAUCUCAAGGUUGCGGGUUCGACCCCCGCAUCGGGCU
This 93-nucleotide transfer RNA is filed under the name Fusarium falciforme. It matches the Rfam family "tRNA". Rfam says of the family: Transfer RNA (tRNA) molecules are approximately 80 nucleotides in length. Lineage: Eukaryota; Fungi; Ascomycota; Sordariomycetes; Hypocreales; Nectriaceae. The record is from Rfam by way of RNAcentral.